GACGAACGCUGGCGGCGUGCUUAACACAUGCAAGUCGAACGGGAAGGCCCUGCUUUUGUGGGGUGCUCGAGUGGCGAACGGGUGAGUAACACGUGAGUAACCUGCCAUUGACUUUGGGAUAACUUCAGGAAACUGUGGCUAAUACCGGAUAGGAGCUCCUGCUGCAGGGUGGGGGUUGGAAAGUGUCGGCGGUUGGGGAGGGACACGCGGCUUAUCAGCUUGUUGGUGGGGGAGUGGCUUACCAAGGCUUUGACGGGUAGCCGGCCGGCGAGGGGGACCGGCCGCAUUGGGACUGAGAUACGGCCCAGACUCCUACGGGAGGAAGCAGUGGGGAAGAUUGCACAAUGGGCGGAAGCCUGAUGCAGGAGCGCCGCGGCCGGGAUGACGGCCUUCGGGUUGUAAACCGCUUUCGCCUGUGACGAAGCGUGAGUGACGGUAAUGGGUAAAGAAGCACCGGCUAACUCCGUG
Molecule: ribosomal RNA, 468 nt
Filed under: uncultured bacterium
Lineage: Bacteria
Description: partial 16S ribosomal RNA
Rfam family: Bacterial small subunit ribosomal RNA
Source: RNAcentral